GCAUCGGUGGUUUAGUGGUAAAAUUAGCCGUUGCCAUUCAGUUUCGGCUAGCCCCGGGUUCGAUUCCCGGCCGAUGCA
This 78-nucleotide transfer RNA is filed under the name Neocucurbitaria cava. RNAcentral describes it as "Pyrenochaeta cava tRNA". It matches the Rfam family "tRNA". Rfam says of the family: Transfer RNA (tRNA) molecules are approximately 80 nucleotides in length. Their secondary structure includes four short double-helical elements and three loops (D, anti-codon, and T loops). RNAcentral also lists the same sequence under 1 other name. Lineage: Eukaryota; Fungi; Ascomycota; Dothideomycetes; Pleosporales; Cucurbitariaceae. The record is from Rfam by way of RNAcentral.